GAGUAGGGCGGGACACGUGGUAUCCUGUCUGAAUAUGGGGGGACCAUCCUCCAAGGCUAAAUACUCCUGACUGACCGAUAGUGAACCAGUACCGUGAGGGAAAGGCGAAAAGAACCCCGGCGAGGGGAGUGAAAAAGAACCUGAAACCGUGUACGUACAAGCAGUGGGAGCACAGGUUUACCUGUGUGACUGCGUACCUUUUGUAUAAUGGGUCAGCGACUUAUAUUCUGUAGCAAGGUUAACCGUAUAGGGGAGCCGAAGGGAAACCGAGUCUUAACCGGGCGUUAAGUUGCAGGGUAUAGACCCGAAACCCGGUGAUCUAGCCAUGGGCAGGUUGAAGGUUGGGUAACACUAACUGGAGGACCGAACCGACUAAUGUUGAAAAAUUAGCGGAUGACCUGUGGCUGGGGGUGAAAGGCCAAUCAAACCGGGAGAUAGCUGGUUCUCCCCGAAAGCUAUUUAGGUAGCGCCUCGUGAAUUCAUCUCCGGGGGUAGAGCACUGUUUCGGCUAGGGGGCCAUCCCGGCUUACCAACCCGAUGCAAACUGCGAAUACCGGAGAAUGUUAUCACGGGAGACACACGGCGGGUGCUAACGUCCGUCGUGAAGAGGGAAACAACCCAGACCGCCAGCUAAGGUCCCAAAGUCAUGGUUAAGUGGGAAACGAUGUGGGAAGGCCCAGACAGCCAGGAUGUUGGCUUAGAAGCAGCCAUCAUUUAAAGAAAGCGUAAUAGCUCACUGGUCGAGUCGGCCUGCGCGGAAGAUGUAACGGGGCUAAACCAU
RNAcentral lists this ribosomal RNA (781 nucleotides) under Salmonella enterica. Its description in RNAcentral is "partial 23S ribosomal RNA". It matches the Rfam family "Bacterial large subunit ribosomal RNA", at positions 410 to 1190 of the family's 2925-position model. The record is from RNAcentral. Lineage: Bacteria; Pseudomonadati; Pseudomonadota; Gammaproteobacteria; Enterobacterales; Enterobacteriaceae.